This 120-nucleotide ribosomal RNA is filed under the name Anolis carolinensis (green anole). Lineage: Eukaryota; Metazoa; Chordata; Lepidosauria; Squamata; Anolidae. The record is from RNAcentral.
UAAUUACUGAACAGUAUCCUAAAAGUGCCAGAUCCCAUCUGAUCUUGGUAGCAAAGUAGGGUCAGACCUAAUUAGUAUUUGGAUGGGAGACCUCCAUCAAAUACCAGGUGCUGAAGCUAC